This 208-nucleotide long non-coding RNA is filed under the name Gossypium raimondii (Peruvian cotton). RNAcentral describes it as "long non-coding RNA (GRAI_LNC002143)". The record is from RNAcentral. Lineage: Eukaryota; Viridiplantae; Streptophyta; Magnoliopsida; Malvales; Malvaceae.
UUUCAAUACAUUUUUUCUCUUCUUGUCACGAAUUCAUUUGCUACCUUUGGUUUCUUUUCCUUCAAUUUAUUAAUUCCUAGUAGCCACCAAAUUCAGCCAUUUGCAAUUCCUUUCUCAAAUUCCCUAUUUUAUUUCCAGUAGCUGACAUCCACUUUAAUUCAUUACCAAAUUUCCAACCCCAUACUCAAUCACGCCACCCAUCUUUUUC